Molecule: long non-coding RNA, 695 nt
Filed under: Cricetulus griseus (Chinese hamster)
Lineage: Eukaryota; Metazoa; Chordata; Mammalia; Rodentia; Cricetidae
Description: lncRNA (ENSCGRG00015004693.2)
Source: RNAcentral
AGUUUGUCUCAGAGUGUACCUCAGGGUCUAGUUUCCACGUCCCUGGGUGGGACAGGAGAGCCAGCCUAGUGAGCAAAGACAGGCAAAUCGCAGUAGAAUGCAGGGAAUCGUUUCUGGCAGUGGUAGCACACACCUUUAAUCCCAGCACUGAGAGGCAGGUGCAGGCAGAUCUCUGAGUUCAAGGCCAGCCUGGUGUACAGAGGGAGUUCCAGGACAGCCAAGGCUACACAGAGAAACCCUGUCUUGGGGAGGAGAAGAAGAACGCAGGGAAGCAUCUUACAAUAAAAAUGGAUGGGUCUUGGGACUGAAGAAGAGCUACUUUACCCAUUUCCACAGACAGGUUUUUGGAAAGUUUCUACACCCCAUAAGUCUCUCCGCCCAUGCAGCAAUCCAAAUCAGACCAAAUCAAACUGAAUUAGAAAAAGCCCAUGUUUAAUGGAUACAGCACUCCUGGAUGGCCUUCCAGCCCCCCAGAGAGGAGACAGAAAAUGGAAGAUCAAGAAAACCACAAGUGACUUCCCAUACAUGCAGAGACCAGAAGAGGAAGCUGGGUACCCUGCAACUGAAGACACUGGUUCUUGGGAGCUAGGAGUCAAAGUUAGGUGCUCUGGGAGUGCCUGUGUGCUCUUAUGACUCAGCCAUUCUCCAGCCCUCAGAGCCAUUCUUUAUGUCAUUAAAUUGUCUUUGCAACUGAA